Molecule: ribosomal RNA, 479 nt
Filed under: uncultured bacterium
Lineage: Bacteria
Description: partial 16S ribosomal RNA
Rfam family: Bacterial small subunit ribosomal RNA
Source: RNAcentral
GACGAACGCUGGCGGCGCGCUUAACACAUGCAAGUCGAGCGAUGAAAUUUCGACAGAUCCCUUCGGGGUGAAGAUGAAAUGGAUUAGCGGCGGACGGGUGAGUAACACGUGAGUAACCUGCCUUUGACAUUGGGAUAGCCUCGGGAAACUGGGAUUAAUACCAAAUGACACUAACUGAUCACAUGAUCAAUUAGUCAAAGAAAUUCGGUCAAAGAUGGACUCGCGGCUGAUUAGCUAGUUGGUGAGGUAACGGCCCACCAAGGCGACGAUCAGUAGCCGGCCAGAGAGGGUGAUCGGCCACAGUGGAACUGAGACACGGUCCAAACUCCUACGGGAGGCAGCAGUGGGGAAUAUUGCACAAUGGGGGAAACCCUGAUGCAGCGACGCCGCGUGAGCGAAGAAGGCCGUCGGGUCGUAAAGCUCGUUUAUGAGGGAAGAUAAUGACGGUACCUCAAGAAAAAGCCCCGGCUAACUACGUG